RNAcentral lists this long non-coding RNA (1070 nucleotides) under Jatropha curcas. Its description in RNAcentral is "long non-coding RNA (JCUR_LNC001891)". Lineage: Eukaryota; Viridiplantae; Streptophyta; Magnoliopsida; Malpighiales; Euphorbiaceae. The record is from RNAcentral.
CAGGUCGUACUUACAUAAUUUCAGCUGACACAAACUGUUAAUUUGAUUCACUGUCCAAAAUAAACAUCUAGAGAUGUUGGCUUGGCCACAUGAACAUUCCAAACAGUUUUUUGUUGUUUGAUUCUAAAAGAUUCAUAAAGAAAUGAUACAUAGCAGUUAUGGUGCCAGUGUCUCUCAAGUUACAUGUAAAACAAUGAUACAUCAAAUAAUGACAGUAUGAUUUUGUUUUUUAUUGAGUUCAAAAAUCUUGAUAAACGCUGGAGUAGUUGCGAAAAUCCCAUCAUUUCCUUUCUGAGCUCUUCUAACUAACGUAGUUAAAUUGCAGACUUCAUAGAUGAUAAAAGCACUUCUGUUGGCGUAGGGAAGGGAGGUGUAAAUGUUGAUACAGGUAAGGGAAAGCCUGGAGGAACUUCUGUAAAUGUUGGGAAAGGCGGAGUAAACGUGAACACUGGGAAAGGAAAGCCAGGAACCAAUGUUAAUGUGGGAGGUAAAGGUGGUGUAAAUGUUAACGCUGGAAAGCCGGGGAAGAGAACCAAUGUAGGUGUUGGCAAAGGCGGUGUAACUGUUACCACGGGACACAAGGGAAAGCCUGUGUAUGUUGGAGUACGACCAGGGCCAUCCCCGUUCAAUUAUGUUUAUGCUGCUACUGAAAAUCAACUUCACGAUGACCCAACUGUGGCUCUCUUUUUUUUGGAGGAGGACAUGUAUAUCGGGAAAACCAUGAACUUGCACUUCACCGAAAACCCAAACAUAGCAACUUUCUUACCACGCCAAGUUGCCAAUUCGAUACCUUUUACAUCUAAAAAGUUGCCAGAGAUCUACAAUGAGUUUUCUGUGAAACCUGGAUCAACGGAAGCUGAGAUAAUGAAGACAACAAUCAGAGAGUGUGAAGAACCUGGGAUUAAAGGAGAGAAGAAAUACUGUGCAACAUCACUCGAGUCAAUGAUUGACUUCAGCACUUCUGUACUUGGAAAAAAUGUUCAGGCAAUCUCCACGGAGGUGGAAAACCAAACCCAGAUGCAGAAGUAUAAAAUUACAACUAGAACAAAGAUGGCAGGUGACAAAUCUGU